This 32-nucleotide non-coding RNA is filed under the name Homo sapiens (human). Lineage: Eukaryota; Metazoa; Chordata; Mammalia; Primates; Hominidae. The record is from RNAcentral.
GAGUUCUACGUGUCCCCCGAGGAUCUGGAGGC